Molecule: ribosomal RNA, 1177 nt
Filed under: Candidatus Phytoplasma tritici
Lineage: Bacteria; Bacillati; Mycoplasmatota; Mollicutes; Acholeplasmatales; Acholeplasmataceae
Description: bacterial SSU rRNA
Rfam family: Bacterial small subunit ribosomal RNA
Source: RNAcentral
AAGACCUAGCAAUAGGUAUGCUUAGGGAGGAGCUUGCGUCACAUUAGUUAGUUGGUGGGGUAAAGGCCUACCAAGACUAUGAUGUGUAGCCGGGCUGAGAGGUUGAACGGCCACAUUGGGACUGAGACACGGCCCAAACUCCUACGGGAGGCAGCAGUAGGGAAUUUUCGGCAAUGGAGGAAACUCUGACCGAGCAACGCCGCGUGAACGAUGAAGUAUUUCGGUACGUAAAGUUCUUUUAUUAGGGAAGAAUAAAUGAUGGAAAAAUCAUUCUGACGGUACCUAAUGAAUAAGCCCCGGCUAACUAUGUGCCAGCAGCCGCGGUAAUACAUAGGGGGCAAGCGUUAUCCGGAAUUAUUGGGCGUAAAGGGUGCGUAGGCGGUUAAAUAAGUUUAUGGUCUAAGUGCAAUGCUUAACAUUGUGAUGCUAUAAAAACUGUUUAACUAGAGUAAGAUAGAGGCAAGUGGAAUUCCAUGUGUAGUGGUAAAAUGCGUAAAUAUAUGGAGGAACACCAGUAGCGAAGGCGGCUUGCUGGGUCUUUACUGACGCUGAAGCACGAAAGCGUGGGGAGCAAACAGGAUUAGAUACCCUGGUAGUCCACGCCGUAAACGAUGAGUACUAAAUGUUGGGUAAAACCAGUGUUGAAGUUAACACAUUAAGUACUCCGCCUGAGUAGUACGUACGCAAGUAUGAAACUUAAAGGAAUUGACGGGACUCCGCACAAGCGGUGGAUCAUGUUGUUUAAUUCGAAGGUACCCGAAAAACCUCACCAGGUCUUGACAUGCUUCUGCAAAGCUGUAGAAACACAGUGGAGGUUAUCAGUUGCACAGGUGGUGCAUGGUUGUCGUCAGCUCGUGUCGUGAGAUGUUGGGUUAAGUCCCGCAACGAGCGCAACCCUUAUUGUUAGUUGCCAGCACGUAAUGGUGGGGACUUUAGCAAGACUGCCAGUGAUAAAUUGGAGGAAGGUGGGGACGACGUCAAAUCAUCAUGCCCCUUAUGACCUGGGCUACAAACGUGAUACAAUGGCUGUUACAAAGGGUAGCUGAAACGUAAGUUUUUGGCGAAUCUCAAAAAAACAGUCUCAGUUCGGAUUGAAGUCUGCAACUCGACUUCAUGAAGUUGGAAUCGCUAGUAAUCGCGAAUCAGCAUGUCGCGGUGAAUACGUUCUCGGGGUUUG